AGAGCGAACGCUAGCGGCAAGCUUAACACAUGCAAGUCGAACGCACAUCUUCGGGUGUGAGUGGCGAACGGGUGAGUAACACGUAGGUUACGUACCCUCUGGUGGGGAAUAACUUGGGGAAACCUAAGCUAAUACCGCAUGUGUCCUUCGGGAUGAAAGCCUUCGGGCGCCAGAGGAGCGGCCUGCGGCCCAUUAUUUAAUCCUUGUUGGUAGGUAACGGCCUACCGAAGGGUACGAGUGGGUAGCUGGUCUGAGAGGAUGAUCAGCCACACUGGAACUGAGACGACCGGUACCAGACCUCCUACGGGGAGCAGCGAGGUGGGAAUUAGUU
This 331-nucleotide ribosomal RNA is filed under the name uncultured soil bacterium. Its description in RNAcentral is "bacterial SSU rRNA". It matches the Rfam family "Bacterial small subunit ribosomal RNA", at positions 26 to 366 of the family's 1533-position model. The record is from RNAcentral.